This 435-nucleotide ribosomal RNA is filed under the name uncultured bacterium. RNAcentral's name for it is "partial 16S ribosomal RNA". It matches the Rfam family "Bacterial small subunit ribosomal RNA", at positions 29 to 507 of the family's 1533-position model. The record is from RNAcentral.
AGCUAACGCUGGCGGCAGGCUUAACACAUGCAAGUCGAGCGGGCACUUUCGGGUGUCAGCGGCGGACGGGUGAGUAACGCGUGGGAACGUGCCCUCUGGUUCGGAAUAACUCAGGGAAACUUGAGCUAAUACCGGAUACGCCCUUUUGGGGAAAGGCUUGCUGCCGGAGGAUCGGCCCGCGUCUGAUUAGCUAGUUGGUGAGGUAACGGCUCACCAAGGCGACGAUCAGUAGCUGGUCUGAGAGGAUGAUCAGCCACACUGGGACUGAGACACGGCCCAGACUCCUACGGGAGGCAGCAGUGGGGAAUAUUGGACAAUGGGCGCAAGCCUGAUCCAGCCAUGCCGCGUGAGUGAUGAAGGCCUUAGGGUUGUAAAGCUCUUUUAUCCGGGACGAUAAUGACGGUACCGGAGGAAUAAGCCCCGGCUAACUUCGUG